RNAcentral lists this ribosomal RNA (210 nucleotides) under uncultured bacterium. RNAcentral's name for it is "partial 16S ribosomal RNA". It matches the Rfam family "Bacterial small subunit ribosomal RNA", at positions 30 to 241 of the family's 1533-position model. The record is from RNAcentral.
AUUGAACGCUGGCGGCAUGCCUUACACAUGCAAGUCGAACGGCAGCACGGGAGCAAUCCUGGUGGCGAGUGGCGAACGGGUGAGUAAUAUAUCGGAACAUACCCUAGAGUGGGGAGUAACGUAGCGAAGUUACGCUAAUACCGCAUACGAUCUACGGAUGAAAGUGGGGCGUCGCAAGACCUCAUGCUCAUGGAGUGGCCGAUAUCUGUA